RNAcentral lists this ribosomal RNA (499 nucleotides) under uncultured bacterium. RNAcentral describes it as "partial 16S ribosomal RNA". It matches the Rfam family "Bacterial small subunit ribosomal RNA", at positions 30 to 523 of the family's 1533-position model. The record is from RNAcentral.
AUUGAACGCUGGCGGCAUGCUUUACACAUGCAAGUCGAACGGUAACAGGGUGCUUGCACCGCUGACGAGUGGCGAACGGGUGAGUAAUGCGUCGGAACGUGCCGAGUAGUGGGGGAUAACGCAGCGAAAUUGUGCUAAUACCGCAUACGUACUGAGGUAGAAAGUGGGGGACCUUCGGGCCUCACGCUAUUCGAGCGGCCGACGUCUGAUUAGCUAGUAGGUGAGGUAAAGGCUCACCUAGGCGACGAUCAGUAGCGGGUCUGAGAGGAUGAUCCGCCACACUGGGACUGAGACACGGCCCAGACUCCUACGGGAGGCAGCAGUGGGGAAUUUUGGACAAUGGGCGAAAGCCUGAUCCAGCCAUGCCGCGUGUCUGAAGAAGGCCUUCGGGUUGUAAAGGACUUUUGUCAGGGAGGAAAUCCCUAGUUCUAAUAACACUGGGGGAUGACAGUACCUGAAGAAUAAGCACCGGCUAACUACGUGCCAGCCGCCGCUGUAA